RNAcentral lists this ribosomal RNA (253 nucleotides) under uncultured bacterium. Its description in RNAcentral is "partial 16S ribosomal RNA". It matches the Rfam family "Bacterial small subunit ribosomal RNA", at positions 524 to 776 of the family's 1533-position model. The record is from RNAcentral.
UACGAAGGGUGCUAGCGUUGCUCGGAAUUACUGGGCGUAAAGCGCACGUAGGCGGCUUUCUAAGUCGGGGGUGAAAUCCUGGAGCUCAACUCCAGAACUGCCUUCGAUACUGGAGAGCUCGAGUCCGGGAGAGGUGAGUGGAACUGCGAGUGUAGAGGUGAAAUUCGUAGAUAUUCGCAAGAACACCAGUGGCGAAGGCGGCUCACUGGACCGGUACUGACGCUGAGGUGCGAAAGCGUGGGGAGCAAACAGG